RNAcentral lists this ribosomal RNA (499 nucleotides) under uncultured bacterium. RNAcentral describes it as "partial 16S ribosomal RNA". It matches the Rfam family "Bacterial small subunit ribosomal RNA", at positions 28 to 507 of the family's 1533-position model. The record is from RNAcentral.
GACGAACGCUGGCGGCGUGCCUAAUACAUGCAAGUCGAGCGAAGUUUUUCUGGUGCUUGCACUAGAAAAACUUAGCGGCGAACGGGUGAGUAACACGUAAAGAACCUGCCUCAUAGACUGGGACAACUAUUGGAAACGAUAGCUAAUACCGGAUAACAGUAUUUCUCGCAUGAGAGAUAUUUAAAAGUUGGUUAUGCUAACACUAUGAGAUGGCUUUGCGGUGCAUUAGCUAGUUGGUGGGGUAGAGGCCCACCAAGGCGACGAUGCAUAGCCGACCUGAGAGGGUGAUCGGCCACACCGAGACUGAGACACGGCCCAGACUCCUACGGGAGGCAGCAGUAGCGAAUCUUCCGCAAUGGGCGAAAGCCUGACGGAGCAACGCCGCGUGAGUGAAGAAGGAGUUCGGUUCGUAAAGCUCUGUUGUUAGGGAAGAAUGGAUAUGUAGUAACUAUACAUGUAAGAGACGGUACCUAACCAGAAAGCCACGGCUAACUACGUG